RNAcentral lists this ribosomal RNA (2928 nucleotides) under Bacillus velezensis. RNAcentral describes it as "23S ribosomal RNA". It matches the Rfam family "Bacterial large subunit ribosomal RNA". Lineage: Bacteria; Bacillati; Bacillota; Bacilli; Caryophanales; Bacillaceae. The record is from RNAcentral.
CGGUUAAGUUAGAAAGGGCGCACGGUGGAUGCCUUGGCACUAGGAGCCGAUGAAGGACGGGACGAACACCGAUAUGCUUCGGGGAGCUGUAAGCAAGCUUUGAUCCGGAGAUUUCCGAAUGGGGAAACCCACCACUCGUAAUGGAGUGGUAUCCAUAUCUGAAUACAUAGGAUAUGAGAAGGCAGACCCGGGGAACUGAAACAUCUAAGUACCCGGAGGAAGAGAAAGCAAAUGCGAUUCCCUGAGUAGCGGCGAGCGAAACGGGACCAGCCCAAACCAAGAGGCUUGCCUCUUGGGGUUGUAGGACACUCUGUACGGAGUUACAAAGGAACGAGGUAGAUGAAGAGGUCUGGAAAGGCCCGCCAUAGGAGGUAACAGCCCUGUAGUCAAAACUUCGUUCUCUCCUGAGUGGAUCCUGAGUACGGCGGAACACGUGAAAUUCCGUCGGAAUCCGGGAGGACCAUCUCCCAAGGCUAAAUACUCCCUAGUGACCGAUAGUGAACCAGUACCGUGAGGGAAAGGUGAAAAGCACCCCGGAAGGGGAGUGAAAGAGAUCCUGAAACCGUGUGCCUACAAGUAGUCAGAGCCCGUUAACGGGUGAUGGCGUGCCUUUUGUAGAAUGAACCGGCGAGUUACGAUCCCGUGCAAGGUUAAGCAGAAGAUGCGGAGCCGCAGCGAAAGCGAGUCUGAAUAGGGCGAAUUGAGUACGUGGUCGUAGACCCGAAACCAGGUGAUCUACCCAUGUCCAGGGUGAAGUUCAGGUAACACUGAAUGGAGGCCCGAACCCACGCACGUUGAAAAGUGCGGGGAUGAGGUGUGGGUAGGGGUGAAAUGCCAAUCGAACCUGGAGAUAGCUGGUUCUCUCCGAAAUAGCUUUAGGGCUAGCCUCAAGGUAAGAGUCUCGGAGGUAGAGCACUGAUUGGACUAGGGGCCCCUACCGGGUUACCGAAUUCAGUCAAACUCCGAAUGCCGAUGACUUAUCCUUGGGAGUCAGACUGCGAGUGAUAAGAUCCGUAGUCGAAAGGGAAACAGCCCAGACCGCCAGCUAAGGUCCCAAAGUAUACGUUAAGUGGAAAAGGAUGUGGAGUUGCUUAGACAACCAGGAUGUUGGCUUAGAAGCAGCCACCAUUUAAAGAGUGCGUAAUAGCUCACUGGUCGAGUGACUCUGCGCCGAAAAUGUACCGGGGCUAAACGUAUCACCGAAGCUGCGGACUGUUCUUCGAACAGUGGUAGGAGAGCGUUCUAAGGGCUGUGAAGCAAGACCGGAAGGACUUGUGGAGCGCUUAGAAGUGAGAAUGCCGGUAUGAGUAGCGAAAGAGGGGUGAGAAUCCCCUCCACCGAAUGCCUAAGGUUUCCUGAGGAAGGCUCGUCCGCUCAGGGUUAGUCGGGACCUAAGCCGAGGCCGAAAGGCGUAGGCGAUGGACAACAGGUUGAUAUUCCUGUACCACCUCCUCACCAUUUGAGCAAUGGGGGGACGCAGGAGGAUAGGGUAAGCGCGGUAUUGGAUAUCCGCGUCCAAGCAGUUAGGCUGGGAAAUAGGCAAAUCCGUUUCCCGUGAAGGCUGAGCUGUGAUGGCGAGCGAAUUAUAGUAGCGAAGUUCCUGAUUCCACACUGCCAAGAAAAGCUCUAGCGAGGUGAGAGGUGCCCGUACCGCAAACCGACACAGGUAGGCGAGGAGAGAAUCCUAAGGUGAUCGAGAGAACUCUCGUUAAGGAACUCGGCAAAAUGACCCGUAACUUCGGAGAAGGGGUGCUCUGUUAGGGUGCAAGCCCGAGAGAGCCGCAGUGAAUAGGCCCAGGCGACUGUUUAGCAAAAACACAGGUCUCUGCGAAGCCGUAAGGCGAAGUAUAGGGGCUGACGCCUGCCCGGUGCUGGAAGGUUAAGAGGAGCGCUUAGCGUAAGCGAAGGUGCGAAUUGAAGCCCCAGUAAACGGCGGCCGUAACUAUAACGGUCCUAAGGUAGCGAAAUUCCUUGUCGGGUAAGUUCCGACCCGCACGAAAGGCGCAACGAUCUGGGCACUGUCUCAACGAGAGACUCGGUGAAAUUAUAGUACCUGUGAAGAUGCAGGUUACCCGCGACAGGACGGAAAGACCCCGUGGAGCUUUACUGCAGCCUGAUAUUGAAUGUUGGUACAGCUUGUACAGGAUAGGUAGGAGCCUUGGAAACCGGAGCGCCAGCUUCGGUGGAGGCAUCGGUGGGAUACUACCCUGGCUGUAUUGACCUUCUAACCCGCCGCCCUUAUCGGGCGGGGAGACAGUGUCAGGUGGGCAGUUUGAGGGCGGUCGCCUCCUAAAAGGUAACGGAGGCGCCCAAAGGUUCCCUCAGAAUGGUUGGAAAUCAUUCGCAGAGUGUAAAGGCACAAGGGAGCUUGACUGCGAGACCUACAAGUCGAGCAGGGACGAAAGUCGGGCUUAGUGAUCCGGUGGUUCCGCAUGGAAGGGCCAUCGCUCAACGGAUAAAAGCUACCCCGGGGAUAACAGGCUUAUCUCCCCCAAGAGUCCACAUCGACGGGGAGGUUUGGCACCUCGAUGUCGGCUCAUCGCAUCCUGGGGCUGUAGUCGGUCCCAAGGGUUGGGCUGUUCGCCCAUUAAAGCGGUACGCGAGCUGGGUUCAGAACGUCGUGAGACAGUUCGGUCCCUAUCCGUCGCGGGCGCAGGAAAUUUAAGAGGAGCUGUCCUUAGUACGAGAGGACCGGGAUGGACGCACCGCUGGUGUACCAGUUGUUCUGCCAAGGGCAUCGCUGGGUAGCUAUGUGCGGACGGGAUAAGUGCUGAAAGCAUCUAAGCAUGAAGCCCCCCUCAAGAUGAGAUUUCCCAUUCCGCAAGGAAGUAAGAUCCCUGAAAGAUGAUCAGGUUGAUAGGUCUGAGGUGGAAGUGUGGCGACACAUGGAGCUGACAGAUACUAAUCGAUCGAGGACUUAACCAAUUU